Molecule: ribosomal RNA, 165 nt
Filed under: Fejervarya limnocharis (Boie's wart frog)
Lineage: Eukaryota; Metazoa; Chordata; Amphibia; Anura; Dicroglossidae
Description: partial 16S ribosomal RNA
Source: RNAcentral
GCCUUAAACCAAGCCUAAUCCUUUAUGCCCAUGACGCACCCAACCAUUUUAAUACCUGAUAAAACAUUUUGUUUAUCUAGUAGAGGCGAUCAAAAAAAUCUUUAGAGCUUCAAAAAUAGUACCGCAAGGGAAUGGUGAAAUAGUUUUGAAAUAGCAAUAAAGCAU